UCUGAUUGCCAAAGGUGCUAAUCUGAAUACUCAAAAUGCAAAUGGAUGGACCCCCUUGAUGGUUGUUCGUUCAUGGAAUAGAAACUGGCUUGAGGACAUCUUAAAAGAACCUCCAUCAGAGAACUUAGAAGUUCUUCCUUCACUAUAUCUCUCUCUUCCACUUAUGAGCAUUGUCAAAAUUGCUAGAGAAUGUUGAUGGAAGACAA
Non-coding RNA from Arachis ipaensis, 206 nucleotides. The record is from RefSeq and is a predicted model, not a curated record. Lineage: Eukaryota; Viridiplantae; Streptophyta; Magnoliopsida; Fabales; Fabaceae.